CCUACGGGAGGCAGCAGUGAGGAAUAUUGGUCAAUGGCCGGAAGGCUGAACCAGCCAAGCAGCGUGAAGGACGAAGGUGCCAAGCAUUGUAAACUUCUUUUGUCAAGGGACAAAAUCAGGCUCGAGAGCCUGACCGAGGGUACUUGAAGAAAAAGCAUCGGCUAACUCCGUGCCAGCCGCCGCGGUAAUACGGAGGAUCAGAGGGUUAUCCGGAUUUAUUGGGUUUAAAGGGUGCGUAGGCGGACGGUUAAGUCAGCGGGAAAAUCUGGGGGCUAAACCCCAUCCAGCCGUUGAUACUGGGGAUCUAGAGUGUGCGAGAGGUAUGCGGAAUGCGUGGUGUAGCGGUGAAAUGCAUAGAUAUCACGCAGAACCCCGAUUGCGAAGGCAGCAUACCGGUGCACAACUGACGCUCAGGCACGAAAGCGUGGGUAUCGAACAGGAUUAGAUACCCCAGUAGUC
Molecule: ribosomal RNA, 459 nt
Filed under: uncultured bacterium
Lineage: Bacteria
Description: partial 16S ribosomal RNA
Rfam family: Bacterial small subunit ribosomal RNA
Source: RNAcentral